This 467-nucleotide ribosomal RNA is filed under the name uncultured bacterium. RNAcentral describes it as "partial 16S ribosomal RNA". It matches the Rfam family "Bacterial small subunit ribosomal RNA", at positions 28 to 507 of the family's 1533-position model. The record is from RNAcentral.
GAUGAACGCUGGCGGCGUGCUUAACACAUGCAAGUCGAACGGAAAGGCCCAAGCUUGCUUGGGUACUCGAGUGGCGAACGGGUGAGUAACACGUGGGUGAUCUGCCCUGCACUUCGGGAUAAGCCUGGGAAACUGGGUCUAAUACCGGAUAGGACCACUUCUUGGAUGUUGUGGUGGAAAGUUUUUUCGGUGUGGGAUGAGCUCGCGGCCUAUCAGCUUGUUGGUGGGGUAAUGGCCUACCAAGGCGUCGACGGGUAGCCGGCCUGAGAGGGUGUACGGCCACAGUGGGACUGAGAUACGGCCCAGACUCCUACGGGAGGCAGCAGUGGGGAAUAUCGCACAAUGGGCGCAAGCCUGAUGCAGCGACGCCGCGUGGGGGAUGACGGCCUUCGGGUUGUAAACUCCUUUCGCUAGGGACGAAGCGUUUUGUGACGGUACCUGGAGAAGAAGCACCGGCUAACUACGUG